CAAAAAUCAGAAUUUUUUUGAGGCGAAAAAAGCGGAUUUUUGGGUUGAAAAAAGCGGAUUUUUGGGCCAAAAAUCAGAUUUUUUUGGGUCGAAAAUCAGAAUUUUUUGGGGACAAAAAUCAGAAUUUUUUGCGUCGAAAAUCAGAAUUUUUUGGGACAAAAAUCGGGAUUUUUUCAGGAUGAAAAAGGCGGAUUUUUGGGACGAAAACGGGGAUUUUUUUGGGGUGAAAAAAGGGGAUUUGGGGUCUCAGCGCACCAUGUACUCCUUGCGCUUGUGCAGGCGGCUCUGGCACAGGGAGAAGCCGCCCAGCAGCGCGUAGAGCCC
Long non-coding RNA from Oenanthe melanoleuca, 324 nucleotides. RefSeq lists it as uncharacterized. Lineage: Eukaryota; Metazoa; Chordata; Aves; Passeriformes; Muscicapidae. The record is from RefSeq and is a predicted model, not a curated record. The transcript has 2 exons.